CUAUGUUUUGAUGUUAUACUGAAUUUCUGUGGUUGUCUUCUGUUAAUGUGGUUCCUAAUUGUUUCUCAUUUUUUUAAAUAGAUUAGACCAUUGUGUUUUUCCCAUUUGAAUGGUUUUACACUAGUAACUGUUGGGGCCCUUUAUAGCUUGCUGUUCUGUGUGAGCCUAGGCACCAUGUUUAAGACCGUACCCUUGACCUAUACCUAUUAACAUUUAUAAUUGUGACUUGGAUGGAGAGUGGUCUCAUUUACACUCAAACCACAUCUUCCUAUCUCUAUAUCUUUGGGGUAUU
Molecule: long non-coding RNA, 292 nt
Filed under: Mytilus galloprovincialis (Mediterranean mussel)
Lineage: Eukaryota; Metazoa; Mollusca; Bivalvia; Mytilida; Mytilidae
Source: RNAcentral